This 263-nucleotide ribosomal RNA is filed under the name uncultured bacterium. RNAcentral describes it as "partial 16S ribosomal RNA". It matches the Rfam family "Bacterial small subunit ribosomal RNA", at positions 793 to 1055 of the family's 1533-position model. The record is from RNAcentral.
GUCCACGCCGUAAACGAUGGGUGCUAGGUGUGGGGGGUGUCGACUCCCCCCGUGCCGAAGCUAACGCAUUAAGCACCCCGCCUGGGGAGUACGGCCGCAAGGCUAAAACUCAAAGGAAUUGACGGGGGCCCGCACAAGCAGCGGAGCAUGUGGUUUAAUUAGACGCAACGCGAAGAACCUUACCAAGGCUUGAAAUGCUCGAGAAAACCGGAGAAAUUCGGUCCCCCGCAAGGGCUCGAGUACAGGUGGUGCAUGGCUGUCGU